UGCAUUAGUAGCUCAGUUCUAGAGCGCCG
Molecule: transfer RNA, 29 nt
Filed under: Ameca splendens
Lineage: Eukaryota; Metazoa; Chordata; Actinopteri; Cyprinodontiformes; Goodeidae
Description: partial tRNA-Thr
Source: RNAcentral